RNAcentral lists this small nuclear RNA (300 nucleotides) under Sorex araneus (European shrew). Its description in RNAcentral is "7SK RNA (ENSSARG00000018022.1)". It matches the Rfam family "7SK RNA". From Rfam's summary of the family: 7SK was discovered as an abundant small nuclear RNA in the mid-70s but a possible function has only recently been suggested. Two independent studies have found that 7SK RNA binds the CDK9/cyclin T complex (known as elongation factor P-TEFb). Lineage: Eukaryota; Metazoa; Chordata; Mammalia; Eulipotyphla; Soricidae. The record is from RNAcentral.
CGCUGUGCUAUCUGGCUGAGACAUCUGUCAUCCCAUUGAUCGCCAGGGUUGAUUCAGCUGAUCUGGCUGGCUAGGCAGGUGUCCCCUUCCUCCCUCACCGCUCCAUGUGCGUCCCUCCCGAAGCUGUGCGCUCGAAGAGGACGGCCUUUCCCGAAUAGAGAUGGACCGGUCUUCGGUCAAGGGUGUAAGAGUAGCUGCGCUCCCCUGCUAGGACCUCCAAACAAGCUCUCGAGGUAGCAAGGCCAGGAAAAAGGCACCUCUGCUGAAAUCUCCUCUAAUUGAGUAAAAAAUGCCUCAAAU